Clupea harengus (Atlantic herring) is the source of this 310-nucleotide long non-coding RNA. NCBI's taxonomy places the organism in Eukaryota, Metazoa, Chordata, Actinopteri, Clupeiformes, Clupeidae. The record is from Ensembl.
ACAGAACAGAAACCCACAUCGGAGUCCUGCCAAAACCCGUGGACAGAUGUCUAUCAGACAGACACAGGUCUAUCAGACGGACACAGGUCUAUCAGACGGACACAGGUCUGUCAGACGGACACAGGUCUAUCAGACAGACACAGGUCUAUCAGACAGACACAGGUCUAUCAGACGGACACAGGUCUAUCAGACGGACACAGGUCUAUCAGACGGACACAGGUCUAUCAGACAGACACAGGUCUGUCAGACGGACACAGGUCUAUCAGACGGACACAUGUCUAUCAGAUGGCCAGAGUCUAUCAGACGGCCA